UUUCUUUGCUGACGAGUGGCGGACGGGUGAGUAAUGCUUGGGAAUCUGGCUUAUGGAGGGGGAUAACUGUGGGAAACUGCAGCUAAUACCGCGUAUUCUCUGAGGAGGAAAGGGUGGGACCUUAGGGCCACCUGCCAUAAGAUGAGCCCAAGUGGGAUUAGGUAGUUGGUGGGGUAAAGGCCUACCAAGCCUGCGAUCUCUAGCUGGUCUGAGAGGAUGACCAGCCACACUGGAACUGAGACACGGUCCAGACUCCUACGGGAGGCAGCAGUGGGGAAUAUUGCGCAAUGGGGGGAACCCUGACGCAGCCAUGCCGCGUGAAUGAAGAAGGCCUUCGGGUUGUAAAGUUCUUUCGGUAAUGAGGAAGGGAUGUUGUUAAAUAGAUAGCAUCAUUGACGUUAAUUACAGAAGAAGCACCGGCUAACUCCGUGCCAGCAGCCGCGGUAAUACGGAGGGUGCGAGCGUUAAUCGGAAUAACUGGGCGUAAAGGGCACGCAGGCGGACUUUUAAGUGAGAUGUGAAAUCCCCGAGCUUAACUUGGGAACUGCAUUUCAGACUGGGAGUCUAGAGUACUUUAGGGAGGGGUAGAAUUCCACGUGUAGCGGUGAAAUGCGUAGAGAUGUGGAGGAAUACCGAAGGCGAAGGCAGCCCCUUGGGAAUGUACUGACGCUCAUGUGCGAAAGCGUGGGGAGCAAACAGG
RNAcentral lists this ribosomal RNA (700 nucleotides) under Pasteurella multocida. RNAcentral describes it as "bacterial SSU rRNA". It matches the Rfam family "Bacterial small subunit ribosomal RNA", at positions 80 to 776 of the family's 1533-position model. The record is from RNAcentral. Lineage: Bacteria; Pseudomonadati; Pseudomonadota; Gammaproteobacteria; Pasteurellales; Pasteurellaceae.